ACGACAGCACCAUUUUAAAAGGUGAAGAACGGCCAUUUUCGAAAGAAAGGAGAUCGAAGACAAUCUUUGAUCCAAUUCCUAAUUUCUAAGUGAAAACGGAAAUAAGGAGAUUGAAUAGAGAUGAAUGAGUAAAAAAAUAAACAGAGAAAGAGACGAAAAUACAAAAAUGGCUGCCACUUGAAAUCUAACGAAAAGCUUCAGCACUUUUCUCGAUUUCUCAUUCUCUUAACCCUCGAAUUCACACUCAUAUUCUCUCACAGUUCCAGCGCAUUCCCAGUUACAACUGCAGCGUUCCAAUCCACAAAUUUGCGUCCAGAAUUGAAAACAAUGUGAAAUUGGGUCGGGUCCAGAUUCGACCGAGGGCUGGGUUCUUCGAGGUCUCCUUUGAAUCUUGUUUGUUUUGAGAUUUUCCUGCUGUAAAACUCAAAAAUUCAGAUUUGAUACAAAGAUUUUGGAGCGGAGCUGUUGGUGACGUCAGGUGCUGAUUCGGAAGAUGUUCGUGUGUUUGGAUAUAACUGCCACUUGUCCUUGAUAGCUUUAGAUUAUUGCUAAUCUGUUUAUGUAACCUUCAAACAGAACGUGUAUUUAUUUUUAUUUAUCAGUUUUGAAAUUUCAAAUC
This is a long non-coding RNA of Nicotiana tabacum (common tobacco), 619 nucleotides long. RefSeq lists it as uncharacterized. The record is from RefSeq and is a predicted model, not a curated record. NCBI's taxonomy places the organism in Eukaryota, Viridiplantae, Streptophyta, Magnoliopsida, Solanales, Solanaceae.